Osmerus eperlanus (European smelt) is the source of this 139-nucleotide long non-coding RNA. RefSeq lists it as uncharacterized. The record is from RefSeq and is a predicted model, not a curated record. The transcript is spliced from 3 exons. NCBI's taxonomy places the organism in Eukaryota, Metazoa, Chordata, Actinopteri, Osmeriformes, Osmeridae.
AGUGGACAUGAGGUGAACCACGUUGUUGAAAUUCAACACGGAUAGAGUUCAGCAUUUCAGGCCAUCUCAAAUCAGCAGAGCUAAAAGAUGCAAAAAAGCAUGCAAAGUAGGCCCACCAGUAGGAUAGAGGACAGGGAAA